GAUGAAGAACGUAGCGAAAUGCGAUAAGUAAUGUGAAUUGCAGAAUUCAGUGAAUCAUCGAAUCUUUGAACGCACAUUGCGCCCGCCAGUAUUCUGGCGGGCAUGCCUGUUCGAGCAUCAUUUCAACCCUCAAGCCCCAGCGGCCUGGUGUUGGGGACCGGCGACCUCGCCCGAGCCCGCCCUCCGGGGCGCGUGCCCGGUGCGUCCGCCGCCCCCGAAAUGAAUUGGCGGCCUCGUCGCGGCCUCCUCUGCGUAGUAGCACAACCUCGCAAGCGGGAGCGCGACGCGGCCACUGCCGUAAAACGCCCAACUUUUUUAGAGUUGACCUCGGAUCAGGUAGGAAUACCCGCUGAACUUAAGCAUAUCAAUAAGCGGAGGA
RNAcentral lists this unclassified non-coding RNA (379 nucleotides) under soil metagenome. RNAcentral describes it as "partial contains 5.8S ribosomal RNA, internal transcribed spacer 2, and large subunit ribosomal RNA". The stretch from base 1 to 120 matches the Rfam family "5.8S ribosomal RNA", at positions 35 to 154 of the family's 154-position model. The record is from RNAcentral.